RNAcentral lists this ribosomal RNA (460 nucleotides) under uncultured bacterium. RNAcentral's name for it is "partial 16S ribosomal RNA". It matches the Rfam family "Bacterial small subunit ribosomal RNA", at positions 338 to 795 of the family's 1533-position model. The record is from RNAcentral.
CCUACGGGAGGCAGCAGUGAGGAAUAUUGGUCAAUGGGCGCGAGUCUGAACCAGCCAAGUAGCGUGCAGGAUGACUGCCCUAUGGGUUGUAAACUUCUUUUAUAAAGGAAUAAAGUGAGGCACGUGUGCCUUUUUGUAUGUACUUUAUGAAUAAGGAUCGGCUAACUCCGUGCCAGCAGCCGCGGUAAUACGGAGGAUCCGAGCGUUAUCCGGAUUUAUUGGGUUUAAAGGGAGCGUAGGCGGGCUGUUAAGUCAGUUGUGAAAGUUUGCGGCUCAACCGUGAAAUUGCAGUUGAGACUGGGAGGCUUGAGAACAGUUGAGGUAGGCGGAAUGCGUGGUGUAGCGGUGAAAUGCUUAGAUAUCACGAAGAACGCCGAUUGCGAAGGCAGCAUACUAAACUGCUACUGACGUUGAGGCUCGAAAGUGUGGGUAUCAAACAGGAUUAGAUACCCGAGUAGUC